Molecule: ribosomal RNA, 619 nt
Filed under: Dipsastraea matthaii
Lineage: Eukaryota; Metazoa; Cnidaria; Anthozoa; Scleractinia; Merulinidae
Description: partial large subunit ribosomal RNA
Rfam family: Bacterial large subunit ribosomal RNA
Source: RNAcentral
CCUAUGGUUGGACCUAAAAAAGUUUGUUUUGCUUAUUAAUAAAGACAGCUAAAUGGCCGCGGUAACACUAACUGUGAAAAUGUAACGUAAUCAAUUGUUAAUUAAUUGUUGACCGGUAUGAAUGGUGUCACGAAAGUGUCUCUGUCUUAAAAAAAUACUUAAUGAAAUUGAAUUUGUAGUGAAGAUGCUACAUUAAAAUUGUAAGACGAGAAGUCCCCAUGGAGCUUUACUGAGGGCUUAUAAUUUUAUAUAAGCGGGACAGUUUUGUUGGGGCGACAGUUUUUUAAAAAGUAACAAAAACGAACUAUGGCUUAUCUUCACCCUGAAAAAUUUUUUAAGGGACAUUUUUGGUGUGUUUUAUGAUCCGUUGUUUGGAAUGAAAAAAACAACGAAAACAAAUAAAAGUUACCCUGGGGAUAACAGCGCAAUAACGUUUGAGAGUUAAUCAACGACGAUGUUUGCGCCUUCUAUGUUACUGCUAAGGGGGGAUCCUGAGCAGACACUUAUUUUUUAGGUGGGUUUAAGUGACCCGUUAAUUUAGGGUGAAAUAGUUAACGAUAAGCAAAUAAAAGUUACCCUGGGGAUAACAGCGCAAUAACGUUUGAGAGUUUCAUUGACG